This 1118-nucleotide non-coding RNA is filed under the name Betula luminifera. The record is from RNAcentral. Lineage: Eukaryota; Viridiplantae; Streptophyta; Magnoliopsida; Fagales; Betulaceae.
GAAGGAUAUAAUUAGUGCUGUUGUAAUGGAAGUGAUGGUGACAGAAGAAGAGAAAGCACACUCCCAACAAAGACAAAGACUCUCUUUAGCCAAUGGCGGGUUGUGCUCUCUCUCUUCUGUCAACAUGAUGCCUCAUGGCCCGUUUCCUGUACAUGUCAUCCACCAUCAAUGACAUUGCAUGCAUGGAUGCAUGCAUGACAUGCAUUCUUCUUUCAUCAAACAAUCACUGAAAUGAAAAGCCAUGAAAAAUGCUUUAGUAUGAGAUCACAUCACAUGCAUGCAUGCUUUUAUAAUGCACAUACAUAUGUGCAGCAUUAUGAUCUAUAUCUGGCUAUAAACCGAUCUAUAUAUACAUGCAUGCAUGCAUAUAUAUGCAUGCAUGUAUGUUUCCAUAUAAAGGAAUUGAUUGGAACAGAGAUAUAAACAUAAAAGCUAGCUUGCGUGUCGAUAGAAAACUUCAUCAUGAGCAGAGUUUUCAGCCUCAGGACACUAAUUAUGGCAAGACAGACAAAAAAAGAGGGAGUGUACUGUGCCUAAUGGGUCUUAGGAUCCAUCAACACCAUUGAAUUGAAAGUCCCAUCCAUAAAUUAAUUAAACCAUGUACUUUUUUAAUUUUGAAAUACAUACAUGUGGGUAUUUACCACUUCAUGCCAAGAAUAUAAACUGAAAUCAUUUUCUUGUGCAAUUAAUACAUCAGGAUCACAAUCAAUAACACAACAACCACACACGAAAACACAAAAAUUUACAUGAUUUUCCUAGUAUGAGAUACGUUUAUGAAUGACAACGAGAAAGAAAUUUACUAACAAAAAUUAAUAGUAAAUUAAAAAAAAAUACUUAAAACCCAAAAAUCAAAGCUCUAAUAUACUCAAAUUUUACUCUCUCACAUAAGUCAAGGAUUUUUUUUUUCUCUAUUUCUUUAGCUAGUAUUCACAUUGGGCUCUUCAAUUUUUUUUUUUUAAAAAAAAUUAACUCUAAAAAUCUAUUGAUUUAGCUAACCAUUUUUUAAAACAACAAAACAUUAAACUCUUUAAAUAUUUAUCAAUUUUAACUAAAUAUUAUAUUUUAUUGAUCAAACCAACUUUUAGACAGCUCUAUGCAUUCAAAAUCAACCUUAGUGG